Molecule: ribosomal RNA, 406 nt
Filed under: uncultured bacterium
Lineage: Bacteria
Description: partial 16S ribosomal RNA
Rfam family: Bacterial small subunit ribosomal RNA
Source: RNAcentral
AUUGAACGCUGGCGGCAGGCCUAACACAUGCAAGUCGAGCGAGUGGCGGACGGGUGAGUAAUGUCUGGGGAUCUGCCUGAUAGAGGGGGAUAACUACUGGAAACGGUAGCUAAUACCGCAUACUAUCGGAUGUACCCAGAUGGGAUUAGCUGGGUGGUGGGGUAAAGGCUCACCUAGGCGACGAUCCCUAGCUGGUCUGAGAGGAUGACCAGCCACCCUGGAACUGAGAAACGGCCCAGACUCCUACGGGAGGCAGCAGUGGGGAAUAUUGCACAAUGGGCGCAAGCCUGAUGCAGCCAUGCCGCGUGUAUGAAGAAGGCCUUCGGGUUGUAAAGUACUUUCAGCGGGGAGGCGUUACCCGCAGAAGAAGCACCGGCUAACUCCGUGCCAGCAGCCGCGGUAAUAC